RNAcentral lists this ribosomal RNA (418 nucleotides) under uncultured eukaryote. RNAcentral describes it as "SSU rRNA". It matches the Rfam family "Eukaryotic small subunit ribosomal RNA", at positions 656 to 1080 of the family's 1831-position model. The record is from RNAcentral.
CGGUCCGCCUCACCGCGAGUACUGAUCCGGCUGGACCUUUCCUUCUGGGGAACCUCAUGGCCUUCACUGGCUGUGGGGGGAACCAGGACUUUUACUGUGAAAAAAUUAGAGUGUUCAAAGCAGGCCUUUGCUCGAAUACAUUAGCAUGGAAUAAUAGAAUAGGACGUGCGGUUCUAUUUUGUUGGUUUCUAGGACCGCCGUAAUGAUUAAUAGGGAUAGUCGGGGGCGUCAGUAUUCAGCUGUCAGAGGUGAAAUUCUUGGAUUUGCUGAAGACUAACUACUGCGAAAGCAUUCGCCAACGAUGUUUUCAUUAAUCAGGCAACGAAAGUUAGGGGAUCGAAGACGAUCAGAUACCGUCGUAGUCUUAACCAUAAACUAUGCCGACUAGGGAUCGGACGGGAUUCUAUAAUGACCCGUU